RNAcentral lists this ribosomal RNA (316 nucleotides) under Sarcomonadea sp. RNAcentral describes it as "SSU rRNA". The stretch from base 100 to 316 matches the Rfam family "Eukaryotic small subunit ribosomal RNA", at positions 738 to 956 of the family's 1831-position model. Lineage: Eukaryota; Cercozoa. The record is from RNAcentral.
CUGGUUCGGCGCACUUGGCCCGUCUCGGUUUACGGGAUUGCGUGCCGGUGUGCGCCAUCCAUCCUUCGAGAGAACACUUCUACCCUCACGGGCUGGAGUGCUAUCUCGAUCUUUUACUUUGAAAAAAUUAGAGUGUUUAAAGCAGGCUUGCGCUAUGAAUACAUUAGCAUGGAAUAAUAAUUUAGGACUUUGGUCUUAUUUUGUUGGUUUCUAGGACUAAAGUAAUGAUUGAUAGGGACAGUUGGGGGUGCUAGUAUUCAGCGGCCAGAGGUGAAAUUCUUGGAUUCGCUGAAGACUAACUUAUGCGAAAGCAUUC